UACGGAGGAUGCAAGCGUUAUCCGGAAUGAUUGGGCGUAAAGCGUCCGCAGGUGGCAAUGUAAGUCUGCUGUCAAAGCGUCUGGCUCAACCAGAUAAAGGCAGUGGAAACUACAUAGCUAGAGUGCGUUCGGGGCAGAGGGAAUUCCUGGUGUAGCGGUGAAAUGCGUAGAGAUCAGGAAGAACACCGGUGGCGAAGGCGCUCUGCUAGGCCGCAACUGACACUGAGGGACGAAAGCUAGGGGAGCGAAUGGG
Molecule: ribosomal RNA, 253 nt
Filed under: uncultured bacterium
Lineage: Bacteria
Description: partial 16S ribosomal RNA
Rfam family: Bacterial small subunit ribosomal RNA
Source: RNAcentral